UACAGAGGGUGCAAGCGUUAAUCGGAAUUACUGGGCGUAAAGCGUGCGUAGACGGUUCUGUAAGUCGGGUGUGAAAGCCCCGGGCUCAACCUGGGAAUUGCAUUCGAGACUGCAUAGCUAGGGUGCGGAAGAGGGAAGCGGAAUUUCCGGUGUAGCGGUGAAAUGCGUAGAUAUCGGAAGGAACACCAGUGGCGAAAGCGGCUUCCUGGGCCAGCACCGACGGUCAGGCACGAAAGCGUGGGGAGCAAACAGG
This 253-nucleotide ribosomal RNA is filed under the name uncultured bacterium. RNAcentral's name for it is "partial 16S ribosomal RNA". It matches the Rfam family "Bacterial small subunit ribosomal RNA", at positions 524 to 776 of the family's 1533-position model. The record is from RNAcentral.